This 73-nucleotide transfer RNA is filed under the name Anolis distichus (bark anole). RNAcentral's name for it is "tRNA-Trp". The stretch from base 1 to 64 matches the Rfam family "tRNA". From Rfam's summary of the family: Transfer RNA (tRNA) molecules are approximately 80 nucleotides in length. Their secondary structure includes four short double-helical elements and three loops (D, anti-codon, and T loops). Lineage: Eukaryota; Metazoa; Chordata; Lepidosauria; Squamata; Anolidae. The record is from RNAcentral.
CUUAGGAUACUAAAACCAAGGGCCUUCAAAGCCCUAAAAAAGGGUGCAAACCCCUUAGUUUUUGUAAGACUUG